Non-coding RNA from Gossypium arboreum, 145 nucleotides. NCBI's taxonomy places the organism in Eukaryota, Viridiplantae, Streptophyta, Magnoliopsida, Malvales, Malvaceae. The record is from Rfam.
UGUUAAAAAUUUCAUCCAUUUCAGCUGUUAAAAACUGACGUGGCUGAUAGGAUAAUCAGACAGUUAGAUAUGGCAUGCCACAUGUGCUUCAUUCUGAUGUACAAUGACCAGUUAUUAAUAGUAGAAAUGGAUGAAAUUUUUAACA